This 1000-nucleotide long non-coding RNA is filed under the name Phasianus colchicus (ring-necked pheasant). Its description in RNAcentral is "lncRNA (ENSPCLG00000016431.1)". Lineage: Eukaryota; Metazoa; Chordata; Aves; Galliformes; Phasianidae. The record is from RNAcentral.
GGCCUGGCAUAUCAGAACCACAUAAAUAUGAGGCUUUAAGGCUCACUGAUGCGCAAUGUACUCUAAUGCCAUCAAGUUAUGAUGUGGACAGUGCUCUAUUGUUCACCACUGGCCGACAAAUUCCAGUCAGUCCUUGAGCAGCAGUUGCCCCACAGACAAACUCACCAGUUUUAUAGUUUCACACAAUGUCAUAUGAGAUGAAAUAUCCCUUUGGUCAGUGUGAGUCAGCUGUCCUGUUUCUGUGUCCUCCCACAUCCUUGUGCCUCCCUAGCUCCCUCGCUGGCAGGACAAAACAAGAAGUUGAAACAUCCUUAGGUUACUGCAGUGCUGCUCAGCAACAACUAUGACAUCAGAGUGUUAUCAACAUUGUUUUCCUCCUAAAGCUGAAACAUGGCCUCAUUCCAGACACUAUGAAGAAAAUCACUCUGUCUCAGCUGAAAGCAGGACAUUUGCAUAUUCUGUGCUGCUCAGAAACUGUUCCCUUCAUGCCAAGCAAGUACGUUCUAGUCUGGGUUUUGUAAGACCUGCUGGGAAGAGCAAGCCUUUAUUUAUGUCAGCGGAGGAAUGGAGAAUGCAGGACAGCUGUGUUGACAGCCAGAGCUAUGGCAAGAUAAGGCAAGACGAGGCAAGAUAAAGCAAGGAGUAAUAACAUGCAAGGGCUUUGAAGGGGUGCUUCUCAAGAUUACGUGCAGAAAUCCUUUACACCUUGAUGUUUAGACACCUUAUCAAUACAAAUCCUUGGUAAGUGACUAAUAGCUUGUUUUAGGCUUUGUUAGCUUCACUAAAAUCACGUCUGAGUUUGACUGUGCAUGUUUAAUCCCUUAGGCUUAAAGUACUGACCACGUCUGGGACUAGGAGUGGAUCCAGCUGCACGUAGGCUACUUGUCUCUAUGGUUCAUGGAGUUUAUGAAGUGUGAGGGUCCACUCUGAACCUCUCAGCAGGAGGGCCUCCUAUAUCUGUGUGUUUAUUCUCUACAAAAUAAAUGAUCAAGUGUAUCCA